This 498-nucleotide ribosomal RNA is filed under the name uncultured bacterium. Its description in RNAcentral is "partial 16S ribosomal RNA". It matches the Rfam family "Bacterial small subunit ribosomal RNA", at positions 28 to 507 of the family's 1533-position model. The record is from RNAcentral.
GACGAACGCUGGCGGCGUGCCUAAUACAUGCAAGUCGAGCGGACGAAUCGAAAGCUUGCUUUUGAUUCGUUAGCGGCGGACGGGUGAGUAACACGUGGGCAACCUGCCCUGUAGACGGGGAUAACACCGAGAAAUCGGUGCUAAUACCGGAUAACACGAAAUGUCGCAUGACGUUUCGUUGAAAGACGGCGCAAGCUGCCGCUACAGGAUGGGCCCGCGGCGCAUUUGCUAGUUGGUGAGGUAACGGCUCACCAAGGCGACGAUACGUAGCCGACCUGAGGGGGUGAUCGGCCACACUGGGACUGAGACACGGCCCAGACUCCUACGGGAGGCAGCAGUAGGGAAUCUUCCGCAAUGGACGAAAGUCUGACGGAGCAACGCCGCGUGAGCGAAGAAGGCCUUCGGGUCGUAAAGCUCUGUUGUUAGGGAAGAACAAGUAACGCAGUAACUGGCGUUACCGUGACGGUACCUAACGAGAAAGCCACGGCUAACUACGUG